This 24-nucleotide ribosomal RNA is filed under the name Scrippsiella precaria. Its description in RNAcentral is "partial small subunit ribosomal RNA". The record is from RNAcentral. Lineage: Eukaryota; Dinophyceae; Peridiniales; Peridiniaceae.
GGUGAACCUGAGGAAGGAUCAUUC